RNAcentral lists this ribosomal RNA (824 nucleotides) under uncultured marine bacterium. Its description in RNAcentral is "bacterial SSU rRNA". It matches the Rfam family "Bacterial small subunit ribosomal RNA", at positions 56 to 885 of the family's 1533-position model. The record is from RNAcentral.
UGCAAGUUGAGCGAAGCUUUUUGGUAGUUUACUACUAGAAAUGACUGAGCGGCGAACGGGUGAGUAACGCGUGAGCAAUCUACCUUAGUUACUGGGAUAGCCCGAGGAAACUCGGAUUAAUACCGGAUAUUCUUAUUUUUUCACAUGAAGUUUUAAGGAAAGGUCAGCCGAACUAAGAUGAGCUCGCGUUCUAUCAGCUAGUUGGUGGGGUAAAAGCCUACCAAGGCUACGACGGAUAGCUGGUCUGAGAGGACGAUCAGCCACACUGGGACUGAGACACGGCCCAGACUCCUACGGGAGGCUGCAGCAGGGAAUAUUGUGCAAUGAGCGAAAGCUUGACACAGCGACACCGCGUGUGGGAUGACGGUUCUAGGAUUGUAAACCACUUUCAGGAGGGAAGAAAAUGACGGUACCUCCACAAGAAGACCCGGCCAACUAUGUGCCAGCAGCCGCGGUAAUACAUAGGGGUCAAGCGUUGUCCGGAUUUAUUAGGCGUAAAGAGCUCGUAGGCGGUUCAACAAGUCGGUCGUAAAAGUUUAGGGCUCAACCCUAAAAUGUCGAUCGAUACUGUUGUGACUAGGAUACGGUAGAGGUGGAUGGAAUUCCGAGUGUAGCGGUGAAAUGCGUAGAUAUUCGGAGGAACACCAAUUGCGAAGGCAGUUCACUGGACCGUGAUCGACGCUGAGGAGCGAAAGCUAGGGGAGCAAACAGGAUUAGAUACCCUGGUAGUCCUAGCUGUAAACGAUGGAUACUAGAUGUAGGAACUGGAUUGACGGUUUCUGUAUCGUAGCUAACGCGUUAAGUAUCCCGCCUGGGGAGUACGG